This 497-nucleotide ribosomal RNA is filed under the name uncultured bacterium. Its description in RNAcentral is "partial 16S ribosomal RNA". It matches the Rfam family "Bacterial small subunit ribosomal RNA", at positions 28 to 507 of the family's 1533-position model. The record is from RNAcentral.
GAUGAACGCUGGCGGCGUGCCUAAUACAUGCAAGUCGAGCGAACGGACGAGAAGCUUGCUUCUCUGAUGUUAGCGGCGGACGGGUGAGUAACACGUGGAUAACCUACCUAUAAGACUGGGAUAACUUCGGGAAACCGGAUCUAAUACCGGAUGAUAUUUUGAACCGCAUGGUUCAAAAGUGAAAGACGGUCUUGCUGUCACUUAUAGAUGGAUCCGCGCUGCAUUAGCUAGUUGGUAAGGUAACGGCUUACCAAGGCAACGAUGCAUAGCCGACCUGAGAGGGUGAUCGGCCACACUGGAACUGGACCAGCGACAGUGCUCCUACGGAAGGCAGCAGAAGGGAAUCUUCCGCAAUGGGGGAAAGCAUGACGGAACAGGGCGGCGGGAGUGGUGAAGGUGUUCGGUUCGUAAAACUCUGUUAUUGGGGAAAAACAGAUUUGGAAGUAACUGUGCACAGCUUGACGGUAACUAAUAAAAAAGCACCGGCUAACUACGUG